AGAUCACUCACCAAGCGUUGUGAUCGAUUGCGGAAAAAAAACUUCCCUCUGCAGAGCACGCCUCUACAUCGUGUGUGUGUAUCUCCAGUCUAUCCAGAAGGAUGGAUACAGAUCUUAAGUUAUGGGAGACUCGUGCCGUCCUACCCUACUGGAUCAGCAGAUCAAUACAACGUCAUUUGUGUGUACAACUGGGAGUUUGGUUCCUUCAACAAUAUCUAAGGCGCAGAUCUCUGCUGCAACCUAAUAAUACGACAAACACGAACCAGACCAAGCCACGACAGCAGAGAGAGAAAGCAAUGAAAGAAAAGGACGGGGGAGAGAGAUGGAGAGAGGUGUUUGACUGUGAUGACAGUAUCCAUACCUGAGGAGCUACGGAGGCUGGAGGUGACAGACACAGUCUGAAAGAGCCACAUUGUUUGUGUCUGUGCACAGAACAAAGUAAAACUAUGUACGUACUGCACACGUUGAAAUCAUGAAUGAACACAGGGUUACCAGGGCAACAGAUAGCAGACUAAAGACACACACACACACGCACACACACACACCCCAUCUGAAGAUCAGGAUGUGAGUGAUCAUCACAUAUCAAAGCCAGGGAGUUUCCUUUUCUUGCUGUUUCAGCACUUUUUCAUUUCCCAUUCCCAUUUUCUACUGUGUUCUGAAAUUCUUACCCUGUUCUUUGUUAAUUCAAAUGUUCCAGGUGCAGUAAGACUUGACACUAAUAACGCUUUAAAUUUUUUUUUCUUGUACUCAUGUAGAUACAGAGAGGAAACUAGUCCACUGGAGGGGUUAUGUAACAAAAGAGACCAGCACACAUCUGGAUGUCUUUUCAGGGUAGAGUCGCUUUGAAUUGUCCUGUUGCAUCCUGACUGUGGCACCAUCCAACCCGCGGAGACACCUGCACCAGUUUAAUGAAGCAAAUACAGAGAAAAUGUGUUUUGGUAUUGUUUCUAGACAGGAGGAAAAACAGAAGGAGGGAAGACAGAAGGAGGAAAGACAGAAGGAGGAAAGACAGAAGGAAGAAAGACAGAAGAAGGAAAGGUUAGAUUUCUAAACAAAACAAAUCUGUCUUACUGUUCAAACUGCUACUGUGUUUAAAUUAUAUUUUAUGCUCAUUUAGUACCUAAAUAAAUAUUUCAUACUUAUUUUCCAAUAAGGCCCUUAAAGUCUUUGUCCGUCUCUCUUUUUCCCCGUCUCCCCGGUGCAUAUCACAUGUCCGCACUCCACUGAAAAACCUUUAGGAGUGAAAGACACCAGUGUUCUCUCAUUAGGCGCCUCAUUCACUAAAUCCAUCACUUGUCAUGUCAAAAUGCAAAGCUGUAAAAGACACCAAAAUGAUCCAAGCCAACCACAUAACAGAUCUUCAGAGCAAACAUCCUCCGUAGAGCAGAGUAAACCCAAAUAAGCCCUGAGCUAACACUGUCACCCUGCUUGCUGAGACGAAGGCAAGACUCACUGAACUCCUUUUUUUAAAACUCUCUCUAUAUUUACAUAACUUGGUGUGUUUGGGUUCUGUUCAUAAUAAUCACUUUUGUCCAUCAUAACUUCUUCAGCUCAUCUUAGCACAAGAAUCUGACUAAAAAAGUAAUUCUAGCUACAUGUUUAAGGAGAAGUUCAUUGUGGGAGAUAACUUGUUUAUCAGUGCUAGUAAUCUAUAAGUCUGUGAAGAUUCUCAUUCAACCAGGUCAUGUUAUCCAAAGAGUUUCGUUGUAGGCAACUGGACUUCUUCUUGGAGCUUGAGAGACGUUUCGUUCCUCAACUGAGGAACUUCGUCAGUUUCUGGUUGAUGUAAGAGGGGACACUAGUAGUUAUACUUCUCUAGACCACUCCCUUCUCCACUGGACAAGGAGUCACAUGUCAAGGUGUGAAGAGUUGUUAUGGUCAGACCUCCCUAGAGACGGGUGACAGGUGACUGCAUCUGAUGGUGAUGGGCAGUUUGAGGAACCACAGAUCUUUCAGUUGCUUACAACUAAACUCUAUGGAUAUGAAUAAUGAAUUAAUUUGUGAAGAUAGUUAAACUAAUAACACAUUUAAGAUUGCAUUACAUUGUUUAUCCCAUAAUUCCACCUUCCAUAAAGAAUUAUCUAAUUAAACUUAAUUGGUCUGAAAACUAAACUCACCAAUGAGACAAAUGCAAAUGA
This is a long non-coding RNA of Cynoglossus semilaevis (tongue sole), 2138 nucleotides long. RefSeq lists it as uncharacterized. The record is from RefSeq and is a predicted model, not a curated record. The transcript is spliced from 3 exons. NCBI's taxonomy places the organism in Eukaryota, Metazoa, Chordata, Actinopteri, Pleuronectiformes, Cynoglossidae.